This 253-nucleotide ribosomal RNA is filed under the name uncultured bacterium. RNAcentral describes it as "partial 16S ribosomal RNA". It matches the Rfam family "Bacterial small subunit ribosomal RNA", at positions 524 to 776 of the family's 1533-position model. The record is from RNAcentral.
UACAUGGGGUGCAAACGUUGCUCGGAAUUAUUGGGCGUAAAGCGCGCGUAGGCGGUUACUUAAGUCGGAUGUGAAAGCCCUCGGCUUAACUGAGGAAGUGCACCCGAAACUGAGUAGCUAGAGUACGAAAGAGGGUCGCGGAAUUCCCGGUGUAGAGGUGAAAUUCGUAGAUAUCGAGAGGAACACCGGUGGCGAAGGCGGCGACCUGGGUCGAGACUGACGCUGAGGCGCGAAAGCGUGGGGAGCAAACAGG